RNAcentral lists this ribosomal RNA (495 nucleotides) under uncultured bacterium. RNAcentral describes it as "partial 16S ribosomal RNA". It matches the Rfam family "Bacterial small subunit ribosomal RNA", at positions 28 to 505 of the family's 1533-position model. The record is from RNAcentral.
GAUGAACGCUGGCGGCGUGCCUAAUACAUGCAAGUCGAGCGAACAGACGAGGAGCUUACUCCUCUGACGUUAGCGGCGGACGGGUGGGUAACACGUGGAUAACCUACCUAUAAGACUGGGAUAACUUCGGGAAACCGGAGCUAAUACCGGAUAACAUGUUGAACCGCAUGGUUCAACAGUGAAAGACGGUCUUGCUGUCACUUAUAGAUGGAUCCGCGUCGCAUUAGCUAGUUGGUAAGGUAACGGCUUACCAAGGCAACGAUGCGUAGCCGACCUGAGAGGGUGAUCGGCCACACUGGCACUGAGACACGGUACAGACUCCUACGGGAGGCAGCAGUAGGGUAUCUUCCGCAAUGGGCGAAAGCCUGACGGAGCAACGCCGCGUGAGUGAAGAAGGUCUUCGGAUCGGAACACUCUGUUAUUAGGGAAGAACAAAUGUGUAAGUAACUAGGCACGUCUUGACGGUACCUAAACAGAGAGCCACGGCUAACUGCG